RNAcentral lists this ribosomal RNA (506 nucleotides) under uncultured bacterium. Its description in RNAcentral is "bacterial SSU rRNA". It matches the Rfam family "Bacterial small subunit ribosomal RNA", at positions 17 to 518 of the family's 1533-position model. The record is from RNAcentral.
UUAUGGCUCAGGAUGAACGCUAGCGGCAGGCUUAACACAUGCAAGUCGAGGGGCAUCGGGAGUAGCAAUACUUGCCGGCGACCGGCGCAAGGGUGCGUAACGCGUGAGCAACAUGCCCGUAUCAGGGGGAUAAUCCAUGGAAACGUGGUCUAAUACCCCAUAGUAAUUAUGUAAGGCAUCUUAUAUAAUUUAAAGCUUUGGUGGAUACGGAUUGGCUCGCGUGACAUUAGCUGGAUGGUAAGGUAACGGCUUACCAUGGCUACGAUGUCUAGGGGUUCUGAGAGGAAGGUCCCCCACACUGGAACUGAGACACGGUCCAGACUCCUACGGGAGGCAGCAGUGAGGAAUAUUGGACAAUGGAUGGAAAUCUGAUCCAGCCAUGCCGCGUGCAGGAAGACGGCCCUAUGGGUUGUAAACUGCUUUUGUAUGGGAGCAAUAAGGGCUACGAGUAGGUUGAUGAGAGUACCAUACGAAUAAGCACCGGCUAACUCCGUGCCAGCCGCCGC